Molecule: transfer RNA, 72 nt
Filed under: Sphaerodactylus townsendi
Lineage: Eukaryota; Metazoa; Chordata; Lepidosauria; Squamata; Sphaerodactylidae
Description: tRNA-Ala
Source: RNAcentral
GGGGUUGUGGCUCAGAGGCAGGACAUUUGCUUAGCAUACAGAAGCUCCCAGGUUCGAUCCCCAGCAUCUCCA